RNAcentral lists this unclassified non-coding RNA (367 nucleotides) under Agaricales sp. RNAcentral's name for it is "partial contains 5.8S ribosomal RNA, internal transcribed spacer 2, and large subunit ribosomal RNA". The record is from RNAcentral. Lineage: Eukaryota; Fungi; Basidiomycota; Agaricomycetes; Agaricales.
CGCACCUUGCACCCUUUGGUAUUCCGAAGGGUAUGCCUGUUUGAGUGUCAUUAAUAUUCUCAACCAUUGGCUUGGGUUUUUUUCCCUUGCUAAAUCGUGUUGGAUUUGAGGGUGUUGUGUUGGUCCUCUUUCAAAUUAAUUUUUGAAGUAUGGUCAACUCCCUUUAAAAGCAUUUGUGGGUCUGACCUUUGUGGAUAUGCCUCGAUUUGAUAAUUAUCAAGAUGUCGUCGCAGUGAAGCAAAAGAUCUGCUUUCUAACUGUCCCUGACAAGGACUGCUCCUAUUGGAGUAAUAGAGUCAUUGCCUUUGGGCUCGACUUGUACAAAAUAUUUGACCUCAAAUCAGGUAGGACUACCCGCUGAACUUAA